CACGGUAAACGAUGGAUGCCCGCUGUUUGCGAUAUACAGUAAGCGGCCAAGCGAAAGCGUUAAGCAUCCCACCUGGGGAGUACGCCGGCAACGGUGAAACUCAAAGGAAUUGACGGGGGCCCGCACAAGCGGAGGAACAUGUGGUUUAAUUCGAUGAUACGCGAGGAACCUUACCCGGGCUUGAACUGCAGCAGAACGAUUCAGAGAUGGUGAGGCCCUUCGGGGCAGCUGUGGAGGUGCUGCAUGGUUGUCGUCAGCUCGUGCCGUGAGGUGUCGGCUUAAGUGCCAUAACGAGCGCAACCCCUGCAGUCAGUUGCCAUCAGGUUAUGCUGGGCACUCUGGCUGGACUGCCACCGUAAGGUGUGAGGAAGGUGGGGAUGACGUCAAAUCAGCACGGCCCUUACGUCCGGGGCUACACACGUGUUACAAUGGGUGGUACAGAGAGUCGGUGCAUGGCAAUGUGCAUCCAAUCCUUAAAGCCAUCCUCAGUUCGGAUUGGGGUCUGCAACCCGACC
RNAcentral lists this ribosomal RNA (515 nucleotides) under uncultured bacterium. RNAcentral describes it as "bacterial SSU rRNA". It matches the Rfam family "Bacterial small subunit ribosomal RNA", at positions 798 to 1317 of the family's 1533-position model. The record is from RNAcentral.